CUAUUAUUUUUUAAUGUCAAAGUUAAUUAUAUUUACCUAAGUAUUAUGAAAUUAAUUAAUUUAAUUAAUUAUUGUUAAUGUGUUUAAAACUUAAAAGGUUUGGCGGUUUUACAUAUCCAGUUAGGGGAGUUUGUUAAAAUAAUUUGAUAAUCCACAUUUUAGACUUACUUUUUUUUGAUAUUUUAUUAUAACAGUUUAUAUAUUGCUGUCAUCAGUUUAUAUUUUAAGAGGAAAAGAACUUUAUAAUUUUUUAAUUAGUAUGUCAAGUCAUAAUGUAGCUAAUAAGAAAGAUUUAAUGGACUACUAUAAUUAAUUUUAUUUAAAUAAUUAUCCGGAUAAUAAAUAUUAUGUUUAUUAGUAAGGUGGACUUAAUAGUAAAUUUAAUAAUUAGUAUGUAUAGUUGAAUGUGGUUUUGUAAGGUGU
Molecule: ribosomal RNA, 423 nt
Filed under: Octopus parvus
Lineage: Eukaryota; Metazoa; Mollusca; Cephalopoda; Octopoda; Octopodidae
Description: partial 12S rRNA
Source: RNAcentral